Molecule: ribosomal RNA, 524 nt
Filed under: uncultured bacterium
Lineage: Bacteria
Description: partial 16S ribosomal RNA
Rfam family: Bacterial small subunit ribosomal RNA
Source: RNAcentral
GACGAACGCUGGCGGCGUGCCUAAUACAUGCAAGUCGAGCGCAGGAAAUCAUCCGAACCCUUCGGGGGGACGUUGAUGGAAUGAGCGGCGGACGGGUGAGUAACACGUAAAGAACCUGCCCAUAGGUCUGGGAUAACCACGAGAAAUCGGGGCUAAUACCGGAUGUGUCAUCGGACCGCAUGGUCCGCUGAUGAAAGGCGCUCCGGCGUCGCCCAUGGCUGGCCUUGCGGUGCAUUAGCUAGUUGGUGGGGUAACGGCCCACCAAGGCGACGAUGCAUAGCCGACCUGAGAGGGUGAUCGGCCACACUGGGACUGAGACACGGCCCAGACUCCUACGGGAGGCAGCAGUAGGGAAUCUUCCACAAUGGACGAAAGUCUGAUGGAGCAACGCCGCGUGAACGAUGAAGGCUUUCGGGUCGUAAAGUUCUGUUGUAAGGGAAGAACAAGUGCCGCAGGCAAUGGCGGCACCUUGACGGUACCUUGCGAGAAAGCCACGGCUAACUACGUGCCAGCCGCCGCCGUAA